AUCAGGUAGUCGGCACUCUAAUAUCAUCACUGGUACACCUCGGAACUGCUUGGUGGCUAAUGGACACAGUACCCAACAUAUGUGACAGGUCAGUGCUGCCCUCGGGCAGCCCGUGGACCUGCCCGGGCGACCAUGUAUUCUACGACGCCUCUGUUAUAUGGGGUUUGAUCGGGCCCGAAAGAAUAUUCGGAGACCUGGGUUACUACUCCGCCAUAAAUUGGUCUUUUUUGCUGGGGGCGGUGGCCCCCGUUCUUGUGUGGCUCGCACACAAGGCGUUCCCAAACCAGCAGUGGAUUAGGCUAAUUACGGUGCCUGUGCUUUUGGUGUCGAUAAUAAACAUGCCACCGGCAACUACGGUGAACUACAAUAGUUGGAUAAUCAUAGGUUUCUUGUCGGGUUACGUGGCGUAUAGAUACUAUCGGGAUUGGUGGAGCAGGCACAAUUAUGUGCUAUCGGGUGCGCUUGAUGCUGGAUUGGCAUUCAUGGGAGUGCUGCUUUAUCUGUGCUUGGAUAUGGCGCAUGUUAGCCUUGAGUGGUGGGGGAGUGUUAGUGAUGGUUGCCCUUUGGCUACUUGCCCUACUGCUAAGGGUAUUGUUGUCAAAGGGUGCCCCAUUUUUUGACUUGUUUUUAAGUAGAUAUUGUUAGUUGAUGUUUGAUGUAUUGUAUUUGUAAAAUAUGAUAUUGGUUUUUCAUAAUUAGAAAAGUGUAUGUGCUUUGUGAUGCUCUCAUUACCCGAUUCAUUUCCAAAUUGUUAGUUGAAAAUUCUCAAUUUUGCUGAUGUGUAUGAUUUGACUACUACAGUAAAAAAAAUCUCAAAUAAAAUACGAAGUAUGUAUAUAUGUAUUUUAUUUCAAUUUCGUUUUUUACACUUCAUUAAUAUUAGUAUUUCCGGGCAUGGUUGUACGAUCGAAGUGACUUUCUUGGGUUAUGAGAUUUUCGGCGUAAUAACAAAUCACAAGCCAAUGUUUGAAAUGGUUUUGGAAGUUAUUUUUAUUUUUAUUUGGGUAAAUUACAAACACCCCCUUGAGGUAUGGUCAAAUUACAAAAAUCUCCCUCUUGUUUGGAUAAUUACAUCUACCCCCUCAACUAUGAUUUUUUCUUAGACCUCCACCUUUAUGGUGCCAAAUUCAACAUAUUCAUCUAGAUUCCGUGAAAUGUGCUCUAGUUUGUACUCGUUUUGUGUAAAAAAUACAGUUUCCGAUGCACCACAAACUGAUAUAUACAAGCUUAAAAUCACAUAUUAUGAUCAUCUUGCUUCAUAAUGUAGAGUUUGAAUAGGAUAAAACGGGUACAAAAGUGAUAAUAUUCCAUAUAAUCUCGAAGAUUCCACUAAAUUUGAGGAGUUGAGGGGGUGGUUGUAAUUAUCCAAACAAGAGGGGUGUUUUUGUAAUUUUACCAUACCUCAGGGGGGUGUUUGUAAUUUACCCUUUUUAUUUUGGGGAAAUAUAUUUUGAGAGAAUAAUUUGAGAAUAAAAGUAAUGUUUGAUUAUGGUUAUUAAAAAUUCACGAUAUACGAUUCAUCUUAGGAUUUUGUUCUUUAAAUUCACGACGGCGAUGAUGAUGAUGAUGAUGAUGAUGAUGAUAAAAUACACUUUACCCCCUUGUACUAUACACUAUAUAACACUUACCCCGCGUACUUUGAAAAAUACACUUACCCCCUCAACUUAACGAUUAACCUAUUUUAUUACUAACAGUGUCAGUUGUAACAAAAUAAUUAUAAUUUUAUCAUCAAAUUAAAUGUACUUUUUAAUAGUGGAUAAGAAAUGACACCUUGCUUUCAUUAAAAAAUAUAUAUUUUUGCAUUGUGAAUGAUAUAUUAAAUAAAUGUUUAACAUGUAUAAUUUUUUAAAUAUUGGAUUAAAAUAUUGACUGAGUAAAUAUUUAUAUUAAAAAUUGUAAUUCUACAUUAACAUUAAUGAUAUAUGUUAAUGUUUUAUUGUAUUUAUUUGUAACAUCAAAAUUUAUUUGUAACAUAAAAAUUUAUUUAAUUUGAUUUUACAAAUAAAUAGUAUUUUUAAUGUGCAUGUUUGAAGAGUUAAAUAAUUUCAUUUAUUAUAUGAAAAAUUAUACUCUCUAAAUAUUUUUAAUUUAAAUAUUUAACUAGUAAAUUAUUUUUAAUCCAAAAAAAAAUACUAUCUUAAAUAUUUAUUUAAUUUAUUAGAGUACAUGUAAUAUUUUUUAAGGAGAUUUUGUGCAUAAGUCUCUAACCAAGCAUCUUUAUUAUUCUAGGUUUAGGGGCUAUAUCUCUUUCAUCAAUAAACCCAGCCCUUUAAUAUUUAUUAUAAUUUAUAAAUAAAGGAAAUAUUCAUGUAUAUGACAAUUUUACCCCCAACCUUUAUACCCAAUUCUUAAUUGUAACCCCAAUUUAAUCAGUUUCGUACACAAAAAUCCAAUUUUGACCACAAAAUCUAAUUUUGAUUUUUUUUUUCUUCCGGAUUUUUUUGCCGGUUUCCGGCGUUGAUUUUUUUUAGUGUUUUUUUUUGUUUUGUUUUGUUUUUUUUUUUUACGUCCGCCGUUAAACGUUGAACGUAAUUGUGCUGUCACUGACAGUAAAUUAACGUAAUUAUACUGUCAAUGACAGUUAAUCAAUGUAAUUGUAACUGCCGUUGACAAUACAUUUAUGUAAUUGCUCUGCCGUUGAAAGUAAAUUAAUGUAAUAUUAUUAUUUUUUAUUUUUUGUUAUUCUUUUGUAUUUUGUUUGAUUUGUUGACAAGGCAACGUAAUUAUAUUACUGUCGUUGAUAGUAAAAUACUGUAAACACAAUAAUAUUACUGUCAACAACAUCAUUUUUAUUAUUUUUUUGGGUUAUUUGUUUUGUUUGAGUUAUUCACGGAGUAACGUAAUAAUAUUACUGUCUAUUAUUGCAAUAUUACUGUAAACACACAAUAAUAUUACUGUGGUUGACGGUAAUAUUACUGUUGUUAUAGUAAUAUUGUUGUCAACCAUAUCAAUAUUAUUAUUAUUUUGUUUGGAUUUUUUUGUUUGUUUGAGUUAUUCACCGAGUAACGUAAUAAUAUUACUGUCUAUUAUUGUAAUAUUACUGUGGUUGACGGUAAUAUUCCUGUUGUUAUAGUAAUAUUACUGUCACUCAUUGUAAUAUUAAUUGUUUUGACUUUUUAUUAUGUCUACAUUUGUUGAACGGUCAACAUAGUAAUAUUACUUUAUUACACAAUAAUAAUGAGUUUUGUUGUGUUAAUAUUAUUGUGCUAGAGAUUAAUAUAGUAAUAUUAUUGUGUUAAACUGUAGUAUAGUUAAUUUUACUGUGUUUGUAUGUAAUAUAGUUAAUAUUACUGUCAAUCACAGCAAUAUUCCUGUUUAAACGAAAAAAAAAAGUUAACCGCGGAGACCGGCGCCGGUCUCCGCCAGAAACCGGCGAAAAAAUCCGGAAGCAAAAAAAAAAGUCAACGCCGAAACCGGAGAAAAAAUCCAGUAGAAAAAAAAAGUCAACGCCGGAGACCGGUUAACGUUUGUGACGGACGAAUUUGUCCAUAAAAAUGUGUUUUGAGCUAUGGUGCACGGACACGGAUACGUGGACACGGUGAUACGCGGAUACGGACACGGUGAUACGGCAUUUCCAAAAAAAUAGGAUACGGACACGUGGGGGAUACGUGUAAAUAUAAAAAAUGUAGGGGUAUAUUUAUAAAUAAUAAAAAUAUAGGGGUACAUUUAUAAAUUGUAAAAAAUAUGUAUAAGUCGUCAUCGCAUAAGAGAACCACUCGCCCUUGUUGCUCGUGUUCUUGAUCACCGUCGCAUGCUAGACUUUUGGAGUUUUUGGUGGACUCACAAAGAAAACAAAGGAAAUGUGUAUUACAUGCAGAGAAAAGAAAAUGCGCAUUUUUUUUAUUAGAGCUCUCCUUCACAACGUAAGAGAAGUGUCCCAACUUUUUUAAAAUUGUGGACACUGGCCGAUACGGGUGCCCUACUUUUAGCGAAAUUACGACACGGCCCGACACGGGUGUCCGAGAAGUGUCCGGGAGUGUCUGAGUGUCCAGGUAUCGGAUACGGGGACUCUUCCCCUUCUAGAAGUGUCCGUGCAGCAUAGGUUUUGAGCCAAAAUUGAAUAAUUUGUAAAAUUUGGGGUUAAAUUGAGGUUAAAUUAAAUAAAGUAUGAGGGGCUAUUUUAGUCUUUUACAAAAAUCUAGACCAUGUGUGGACUUAUUUGUAAAGGAGUUUUUUUAUCUGGAUCUCUUUAUGAAUAAGUACCAAUUGAUGGACUUAUUUGUAAAGACCCUAUUUUUUAAAUAAAUAAAAUGUGCCAUUUAGUAAAGAUUAUUAAAAAAAAUAUUAAAUUAUUUUACUGCUAACAUCGUUAAGAGUCAAAUAGAUUAACCAUUAAAUUGAGCAAUAAGUGUAUUUUUCAUAGGAUUAGGGGUCAAUGUUACACAGGGCAUAUUACAAAGGGGUAAAGUACAUUUUACCCUAAUAAUAAUUGUAAAUAUAUAAAUGUUAAACUAAGGAACUAUUUUGGAAAGAGUUUAAUAGUUGUUUUCACCGAUAAAUAUUCUAGAAUCUAGCUCAUAUGUUUUAGGAGAGUUUUAACAGACUUUUUUUCAACAAUUAGAUAUUUUAGAUCUCCAUAGUCCAUUUAAUGAAAUGAAUGAUACAAAUAGAUGGAAAAUAUUUGUCUUUUAACACAUAACUCAUUUUGACAUAAUAAUAAUUCAUACAUUUUAGUUGUUAAUUUAUGUUAGAUAUAGUUUUAAAAUAAAAAUAAGAAUUUUCCUCUCUUGUGAGAUAAAGGCUUCGCGUAAUCCAUUGAUGUACACCUAAAAGUCCAAUAAUCAGUAUCAAUCAACAUCAAUCAAAGUAGUAGCAUUCAGGAAUCACCUUCAAAAAAUCAAAAAAGAAAUUCACUCGAUUAUACUUGAUCAAAAAUUUUGCUCCUAUGGCCCAACAAGUGAACUCUACUACAACAAAAAUCCUUAUUCAUAGCGUUUGAAAAACGCUAUUAUAGGAUUCCAUAGCGUUUCUACAAACGCUACGUCUGCCCGAGCUAUAAUAGAUCUCGGUUCUUUUAUAGCGUUUAUCAAAGGCUAUUGUAGGCGUUUCUAAAUGAUAUUGUAGUGUUACUUUCGAUAGCAUUUUUUCUUUGCUAUUGUAUGUGUUCUUACAACAGUAAUCAACUGCUAUCAUACCUCUUUCAUAGCAUUAUUAAAUUGUUAUUGCAGUUUUAAACGCUAUUGAAUUACCAAUGAAAUGGGUGUUAAAUAUCACUGAUAGCAUUUAAAAAUGCUACUGUAUCAAUUUUUCACUAUUUACUGCAACAAUCAUGUAAAAUACGAAAUGAAUAUUAAAAAAAUGUUACAAAAUAAAUCAUUUGUAUUAGUAUUUGAACCCAAUUGACAAAACAAUACAAAAAUUGGCUGUCUUCAAGGACUACUUAAACUAGAUUGAGUAGAAAAUUGCUAAAUUUGACAAUGUCUUAGAAACUCGGUGAAGGAAAAUCUAUUACUAAUUUGAAGCAUUGCAUCUCAAAUCCGUAUUUGUACUUCUUCACCAUCCUUACUUGACCUGUCCUGAAAAAAAAGAUACAAAAUUUAGACUUUAAGUUACCAAAAAUAAAAUAAUGAGUAUAAAAUUAUGUACUUCCAUGUUUUAAAUAUUUUAGCACCUAUGUUCGUCAUCAAUUUCAGACCAGUUCUUUGGAUGGAGAAUCAUUAGCCUCAAUUUUUGACUUAAAUUGCAUCAGACAUCUAAUAGUUGUUUAUCUCUACCAAAUCUCUAUACGACCGGAAAAAAGAAGUAAUCAAGCAUUAAAAUUUAUGGGGAUUACCUACCACCUCAAUCGCCUAAAGUACCAUGUCCUCAGUUAUAAUGUUACAUACAACAUCCAAUACCUGAAUACAUAAAAACUUCUUGAAUACAUAAGCAUAUCUGUUUUUAGUAUAUAUAUUAUAUCACCGAUGAAAACCUGCAAAAAGAAUCUUAUAAAUUAGUUGAUUAACCACAAUAUAGAAAAUAUGGAUAUAAUUUAAUUUGGACAAAAGAAUCACUACAAGAAAAAAAAUCAUCAACGUACAAAAUCAAUGUAAGUACCUUGUGACCCUUUGUCCUCUCUCUUGAUAAAAAUUGUCCUAGAUGCUCCGUCAAGAUAUUUAAGGCUGUGACAUAUAAAAUGAUAAGUAUAUAGUAUGCAAUCUCUUAAAUAGGUUAAACCCAAUAGUAUAUUUUCAGAGUAUCGAAAUAAAAAAAAUACUAAAUCGUUUAAGAUGAACAAUAAUCCAAACAAAUUCAAAAUACUAAAUCUUUCAGUAUAAACAAUAAACCAAAUAAAUUCAAAAUACUAAAUCAUAAAGUAUUAUAUGUGAACAUCUGCAAUUGCGACUACAAACUCACUAGUAGUGCAAAUAAUCUGUUAGGUAUAUGUAUAUAUACACGUCAUAGAGAGAGCAGGAGGAACAAGUUUAAGAAAGAAAUCAAUGUUACCAGUCCGGAAUGAAGAAACUCUACACACCAAGACAUAAAGAAUCGUCCCAACACCUCAUAUAUCUGUCUAGCCAUUAAUGUCAAAUGAGCGUUGCUUGAAUAUGUAGUAAGAGGUUCCCAAAACUUUAGAAAACUUCACACCCAGAAUCAUAUAAAUAGACGAGCUAAUAGCACAGAACCCCCUGUGUAAUUUCAAAUUGCCAAAAAAAACCUUAUGUUAAAAAAAUUAGCAAUAAACCCCCUAUGUUGUGUUUUGUAUAGCAUACUGCCCAUUAUACGAGAUUUUGGUAUUGACUUAACUGAAAAGACAAAAUUACCCCUACCCUAAAAUAGAAUAAAGUGCCUCCCACACUUAAAAUUGUGAAUGAAAAGUCAAACCCCAAUUCAUCUUCCUCUCUCACACUUUCACACGUGGCCGGUUCAGGCUCACCAUACAUACAAAUUACAAACUAGUCACGUGGAAAAGAACAAAACAUACAUAUAAUAACAUCAAAAAAUAAUUAAAAAAGAAAAAGAAAAAGGCACAAAAUAAACCAUAGUAAUGGAAGAGAAGAGGAUUAACAGAAAAAAAAAUGGAAGAGAACGAGGCAUCAUAUUAAUAGAUAGUAUCUAACUUGGUGAUUGAGAGUUGGAAGGACUCUCGCAUUAGGUUUAAUUUCCGUUAUUAAAGUCGAAGCAUCCCAAUGACCAUUCCUUGGGAAAUUGCUUAGGGUUACGAACUGACGGCGCGAUCUGGUGAGAUUGGGGGAGAUAUUACGGAUCUGGUGAGAUUGGGGGAGAUAUUACGGAGUGGAGGGACGUAGACAGCGCCGUAGUGUGUCGAGGUGGGGCGGUGGUGCCCGGGUGGUAAGGAGAGCUUAGGUCUGAUGGAGAAGAGGGCUUAUCCGAAAGUGCUAUGGAGUGAAUUGAAAAUUUUAAAAACUUCAUUUUGGUGCUUAUAAAAAAUUCGGGGUGAUUUUGUAAUUCUUGAAAUUAUGACAAAGGGUAUUUAAGUAUUUUACGGUCAAAAAACGCACCUCCAGUUGCACAAUCCGCGCGUGCAUUGCACGAUUCGCUGUUAGGGGGCUUAAUGCCUUUGAAUAAAUUUCAUAGGGGGGUUUUUGCUAAUUUUUUUAACAUGGGGACUUUUUCGACAAUUAGAGAUUACACAAGGGAGGUUCUUGCAAAAAACCCAAAUCAUAGAAGAAUCCUAAAAUUACAUAAAGGAAAACUGGAACUGCUACCACAUUUAAAUCUGAAAUGAAAUUCAAUCUUCAAUAUAUAUUGAGGGCUACAAGAAAAGUUGAUCGAUACUAAACCAAACACGAAAACGACAUUCUCAAAUAUAUAAUCAUAUAAAUAGCCAAUUCUGUUUGUCUUUCUCUUUUACCUUAAUCAACUAUACAUUAUGAAAACAAUUGCACUUCCAUCUAAAGCAAAAGAGAUUGAAUUCACCAAAAGUCCACAAUUUAUUAUUAAAACCCUAUAUUUUCUAAAUCAUCAUACUUGUAUAGUUUAUACCACAAAACAACUGUAUGUCACAUACCAGAAUUAAUAGUGGCCGUGUGUGAACCGAAAAUAAAAUAUAAAUUCUUAAAUGGGCUAAAGAGCAUUGUAAUUUAGAAAAGGUUAAAAACGAUCAUCAUCCGUUUCCUUUAGAGAAAGAGUAGGCAAAUCAGCAGCAGAUUAAUUGAAAUAAUUUAGGGCUUUUUGCAAAGAAAAAAUAAAUAAAUUAAAAUUUGGAGAAAUCUAGAAAUUGAAAGUUAGAGAUACCUUCAUCGCUCGUAAAAAAAGAGAGAAACAAAAACAUAUUGACACCAGGUCGAUGGUGAACAGAGAGAUGACAGUCUUCAAACAUUGGUUCACGGAUUUGUGUCGCCUAUAAGGAGGGGUUCUGAUUGCGUAAGAGAAAAAACCCAAGAGAUGGCCGCAACGACAGAAUGACAGCUUCCGAGGGGUUUUCUGAUCGGGAAAUGCAGUUUGAAAGAUAAAAGUGAGCCAAGGAGUAGAGAUCUGUUUGUGAAAAAAACUUUGGCUGAGUAUUUUAAAAGUAAAACCCGUGCGCGCCAAUGUUAUAGCGUUUUCUAUUAUUUACUAUUAUUUUAUAUAAAAAAAAAUAGCUAAUAUAGCAUUUCCCUUAAAAACGCUAUAAUGAAGUGCUAUCAAUACUUACUUUUCUUGUAGUCUCUAAGCACUAGCUAAACUUUCUUGGAGACAACACCUUCUUGUGUGACUAUAGUUUCAAGUCAAAACCCUUUAAGUUCAGUACAUUGGUUACGUUGAUCAUCGCUGUAUUUCUGGCAUGAUUCUUUGACAUCUAAUUCUUAUACCCGCUACACCGUUGUUGAGAAUUUUGUUUUAAAGAAUUCAAAAGAGAAAAUUUCAAAGAAAGAUUUUCUUUAGUUGAUAGUGAUUCUAUUUUAUUAACAAAAUAUUAAUAUACAUUAUAAGUUUGUAUUUUCAGUUUGACUACACGUCUUGUCUUUGAAAACAAAUUGAAAUUGUUACAAUUAAUUUAGAAUUUAUUAGUAUAAUUUAAACUUUGAAAUUACAUAAUGAGUUUAGACUUUAGAGUUUUUAGGUUUUUUCCUUUCUAUUUUUUUACCAGAUUAAAUCUUUAUUUGCUUUUACGGAUUUGAUUAGCGAAAUGCAAUGUUCUAGAAAAAAGAUUUUUGUUUAUUUUAUGUAUUUUUUUUUUUGUUAUAGCUUGCAAUAAUAAAAAUAUAGUUGUUAUUAUACUUUAUUUAUACUAAUUAUAAUUUUGCAUAUCAUUCAGCUUUACAACAUAUUUUUAGUUUCAAUAUCUAAUAAAGUAUUUUCUUUUUUGGUAUUUGGCAAAUUUGAUUUUUGGUUUGCUAUUAUUUUCAUCACUUACACUAAGUAUUGAUUUGUAAAAAAAAAUUUUUAGAUAAAUAUUAACUUAAUUGCUUUUUUAUCAUUAAAAUUUGUAUGAAAUAUUAAUUUAAAAAAUAGUUACAAAACAAAUUUUGAUUUCGUUCGUAAGAAAAAUAUGAUGGUAUAUUUAUGCAAUGGAAAGUAAGUUUCUUCAGGUUUUCUUAUUGAAAAGUAUAACAUAUAUACAUAUAAAUAAAUGAAAAUGUUAAUUCCACCGACCCCACCCCCCAUUUUGGUGUCAUUGAUAGGGUUGAAGAUUGGAACAUUUUUUUUCUUUCUAUUUUCACCUAUUCAAAUCCAAAAAUCAAAUCAGGAACAACAGUUUUCAACAUGAAUUCUAAAAUUCCGCUUUUUUAUUUUCCAAAAUUAUUUGGAUCAGAAUUAAAAUAUUUAUGAGAUUCCAAUUUUCGGAUUUUAAGUUCCGAAAUCAGAAAAAAAUAAUCCGAAUACUACACUCCAAAUAUCGAGGAUCGAGUUUCCCUCCAAAAUUGUCCAAUCCAUCGGCCACACCAUCUACUUUAUUUUUUUAUCUACUUAUUUUUAUAAAGAAGAUAUCAAUUUAUGCAACCAACCAAUGAAUUACCUGUUAUAGCAGGUCAUAGAACCAAAACUCUCGUAAUUUUAUAACGUAUAGGCCUAAAAUGUUAAUUUUAAAAUGGGGUGGACUAAAUACCGACUUAAAAUCCCAUUUUGCCUUCAAUCUUAUUCUUAGUUUAUUUUGGUUUCUUUCUAUAUGUUGGGCUAAAUACCUAACACGCAAUUGCACGUAUCGCAAACAAGUAGUAAAAGUGGACUCGUGAGAGUCGGAUGUCGAUCCCACAGGAAAUACUCAAAUUAUCUAAUCCUAAGUACCAAAUUCUAACAAUUAUGAUUUUUAUCCAGCCUACGCAAGGUUGUGAAAUUUAAUCAACUAAAUAAUUAAACUAAUUAUGAAAGCAAAUAGACACGAGAAAAUAUCAAGUAAAAACGGACCUAGGAUUUCAUCUUCCGCCUAUGCAAGAAUUGCUCACCCAAAACCCCUCAAUUAUGAAAUAUAUGAUUCCUGAUUAUUAACCCGAGACACUAAUUUACUCAUAACCCGCUGUCGUGUGUAUUAUGAGUCUAUUAUUCAUAAAAGGUUCACUAUAUGUCUAUGAAAACCACUUAUGAAUAAAGCAUUAACUAACAAGUCUCGUAAAUGGCUACCUAAGGUGAUAUUUGUAUGUCUACGACACCAUAUGCAAUUGACACACUCAUCCGGUGAAAACUACUCGAAGGUUCUUUUACUUACCGUCUAAUUAUAAAAAUAGUUCUGUCGAGUCAAUCCCAAUAAUCACAGAUAAAGCACAUAAAUUGAUCAGGUUCAUGCACUAACAAUCAUAACAAGUAGAAGAAAUAAUCAUAAAAUCAUAAUUGCAUAAUCUCAAGAAAACGGGUUCACCAUCCCCACUUAGGGUUCCAACAAAAUCCUAGAUUAAAAACUUAGCUACGCAUGUUCGCUACGAAAAACAUCAUAAAAUUAUUUAAAAUAAAUAGAUUACGAAAAGAUAGAUGAAAGAAGAAUUGUGAUGAAGAUUUGUCAAUUCUCCGUCUUCGAUUCUCCGUUCUCUUGCCCCUCUUUCUCCAAGAUUUGUGUUUCAAAGUCCUUUAAUUCGUGCUUGGUUUGCCUUUAAAUAGAUGUCCCAACUUGGUAGAAGAUUUUAGGUUUCCUUGUGUGAUUAAAACUCCAAAAUUGUCUCCAGCGUGUAUUCACACGUGCCGCGCGAGAAUCAGUGCAAUUCUCACACGGCCGCUCGAGAAUCACCGAAACCUUCUGCCCUCAUUCUGCAGUUCGCGCGGUNNNNNNNNNNNNNNNNNNNNNNNNNNNNNNNNNNNNNNNNNNNNNNNNNNNNNNNNNNNNNNNNNNNNNNNNNNNNNNNNNNNNNNNNNNNNNNNNNNNNNNNNNNNNNNNCGAACUCCCAAAUCGUCAAGUUGUACCUAAAAUACAAUAAACCACUCAUUAAGCAUCAUUAAAUCAUUAAAAGUAUACAAAAAUCCUCGUAAGAAAGUAUACAUUGAGUGUAAAAUAUACACUCAACACACCCCCAAACUUGAACUUUUGCUUGUCCUCAAGCAAAAACUAGCAACCUUCAAAGCAACACUUUCAACAAAUGCCUCUCAUCACAUAGAUUAAUGGUCAACUUCACGUUUUCAGAACUUGCAAUUAUCAUGACAAUUCUUAAAAAAAUUACAAGCUCGUAAUUCAAAGAUACAUAUUCACUCAUCCUUGCUAAAAACCACAAACCAUGCUAUCGCUUCAAGUAUCCCAUAUUUGUAAAUUAAAAAUGGAGAAAACUUAUACUUACAUAAUAAUAUUCAACUCCAAAGACUCACCAAAUUUCUUUACUCGGCUAGUAUCAAAUAAUUGAGCUAUUGGGAUCAUUGGGACUUUUUGGCUUUCAAAUGUUGGACUUUUGGUACAAGGUAGAAAAUAUGGGUAAAAGUGACUACUCUUCUCCUUUCAUCUCACAAUUAGUCACUAAGAGUUGCACUUGACGGAAUUUUUAACUCUCGAUCUUGACUAGAGGUGUUUUUCGCUAAGAUUUAGCUUUUGGAAUUAUUACUUCACCUCGAAGGACAUAUUACCUAACUCGAUUUGUUUAAGAGUUCAAAAGUCUCAACUUUUGCUCUUAACAUGAUGGUUCGAGUUGUUACUUUAAAAUCUUUCUGAAGUCCUUUAUUCCCCUUCUAUUUUUCUUCUUCUUCUUCUUUAUUUUUUUUCUUUAUUUUUUUUUCAACCAAGCUCCAAGGGAUAAUUCAUCAAGAAACCACCAUCUAAUCUACCCACUUUAUUUCGGCUAAAAGAAAGAACACCGUUUCUCCAAGGCUCAAUCAAGGUUCGAAUGACAAAAAUUUAAAGGUAGGCUUGAAAGGCUCAAACGGUUCAAAAAUGGCCCAAAUCAGUUCCCAAAUUGCUCAACAAUUUAAUAUUUCACUUUGUAAAUUCAUAAGGCAAGUUCUAAAACCGAAUAGCAUAUGAUAUAGCAUAAAUUAAAUCCACGUUUUAAAACACAAAACUUUCAACCAAAGCAAGGCAUAAUUCGUGAUUCCUAACAAUGACUCCUUCCUACGACACUUUAAAUAAAAAGCUCACCAAAAUUCAAUCACAAUCAAGAUAAAGCAAGCAAUUUCAUCAUUAAACAUCAACCAUCUUUCAUCAUCAGGAUUCAUCGAAGCAUUUAUCUCAACACUUUUUUUUUUCUUUUUUCGAAAGCAAUAAAUAAACUAAAACAACUAAACUAAAACAAAAAUCCUAAUGCAUGCAAACUAAAAAAAUUAAAGCACAUAAAAACAAGUAAUUUUCCACCCCCAAACUUAAAAUUUACAUUGCCCUCAAUGUAAUUAGCACGAAGUUUAAGGAUAGAAUACACUUGACUUAGUCGUCUUGGCCAUCUCCGGGUUGCUCUCCACCCUCGCCUUUAUUAUGCGUCUGUUGCGUUUCGCACGGCCGUAUGAGAUUUUGAAUUGUUUUCCGCACGGCCGUGCGAAUUGCCAAAAUUGGGCAGUAGCUGUCUGUUUCUCGCACGUCCGUAUGAGAUUUCAGUAUGUUUUUCGCGCGGCCGUGCGCAAGGCCAAAAUUGGGCAGUAGCUUCCAGAUUUUUCACACGGCCGUGUGAAAUUUAGCCUUGUUUUGGGACGGCCGUAUGAGCUCCAGAGUUGCAAUUUCUUGACCUGAAAAUUAAAACUAUGCUUAAACUAUUAUCUUGCAUGCUUAUAAAAAUAAAUUAAAUAAAACAAAAAAAAUAAAUAAAAAAACGAAAAUCUCGGGUUGCCUCCCGAGAAGCGCUAAGUUUACAGUCUUCAGCCAGACUUUGUCUGCUUCUUUGUUCAAGCUAAAGUGACCGAAGUCACUUGACCAUCUUUACUCGCUUCCAACAAAGGCUUGUUUGGUUCUUUAGGUGGCCACAUCCUCCUUGCACGUUCAUCGUCGUUAACACCCCAACUCUUUUGACUAUCUCUCGGAGGAGGUGUUGAAAUUGAGUCCACAAAAUACACUUGCUCCUUCCGAUUCCUUUUUCCGCCAUCAUCUCCUGCACUCAAAGAUGCUUUCCCAUGGUCCAAGAUCGAAACAUCAAAUUUUUCAUGAUUUGUAAAAUCCAUAAGCUCAAUAGUAAAACACUCAUUAUUAUCACAUGGAUUUUUAUUAGCACAAAAAACAUUAUAUUUGAUCGUUUCAUCAUGCACUGUCAUUGUAAGAUCACCACUAGCACAAUAAAUUAGAGUUUUCGACGUGGCUAAAAACGGUCUCCUUAAAAUAAGAGGUAUCUCCCUAUCUUCAUCUAUAUCAAGUAUAAAGAAAUCAUCAGGGAAGAUAAAUUUGUUCACUUUUACUAGCACAUUCUCUAAAAUACCUUUUGGGUAAACUAAAGACCUAUCGGCUAAUUGAAGAGUUAUAGCCGUCGGUUCAAUCUCACCUAACCCAAGAUUUUUAUAAGUGGAAUAAGACAUAAGAUUAAUGCUAGCGCCUAAAUCAAUGAGCGAUCUAAAAUUUUUACCUCCUAUAGUACAAGGAAUAGUGAACUUACCUGGAUCGCCGAGUUUUUGUGGAAGGGGCCGUGUAAGAAUUGCACUGCAUUGCUCCGUGAGUUAGAUCAUCUCGUUCCCUUGCAAUUUCUUCCUCUUUGUCACGAGAUCCUUGAAGAAUUUCACCCACUUUGGCAUCUUUUGAAGGGCUUCGAUAAACGGGAUAUUUAUGUGAAUUUCCUUCAACUUGUCCAAAAAUCCUUGGUAUUCGGCAUCGAGCUUCUUCUUGAGAAACGUUUGAGGAUAUGGAAUUGGAGGGGCACUUGAAAUCACUGUUGACGGUGGUUCUUCUUGAGUUGUUUCUUUUUCCUCAAUCACUCUUGGCUUCUCGAUUACCGCGCUUCUCUUCUCUUUUCUUGGGGCUUCCUCCAAUUGUCUCCCAUUCCUUAAACUUACAGCGUUGCACUGCUCCAUGUUGCUCUUCCGAGGAUCUUCCGUAUUCGACGGCAGUGCUCCCGAUGGCCUCGCGUUUAGCUAGGUUGCAAGUUGACCCAUCUGUGUUUCCAAAUUUCAAAUGGAAGCUUGAGUCGAUGUCAUGAAUUGUGCUAAGAUAUUUGCGAGAUCUCCACCUUGAGGUGGGGCUUGAGGCGGAUUUUGGAAUCCGGGAGCUGGCCGUGAAUAACUAGGAGGUUGACCUUGAGGUGGUGCUUGCCUUUAUCCUUGCUGAUUUCCUCCCCAUCCAAAGUUGGGGUGAUCUUUCCAUCCCGGAUUAUAGGUGUUGGAGUACGGGUUCCUCUGUUGUCGGUUGGUGUCAUUCACGUAAUUUAGAGACUCCGUUUCUUCUAAGCACUGGUCGGGACCUUGGACUGCAUGGACUUGCUGAGUCUGCAAAGUUGCUACUUGCUUUGAUAGCUUUUCUAACUGGGCAGUGAUUGCGGUGACCCCGUCUAACUCCAAAAUUCCUCCCGUCUUAAUGGCUCCGCUAUUUGAACAAUCCGAUGCCCGCAUGUAUUUAUUUCUAGCGAUUCGCUCCAAAAGUUCGUAUGCUUCGUCAUAGGUCAAACUCAUGAACAUUCCUCCAGCUGCAGAAUCGAGCACAAUCCUUGAAUUAUCUUGCAAUCCAUCGUAGAAUAUUUGCAGCUGGCGCCACUCUUGAAGUCCGUGAUUCGGGCAUCUCCGAAUUAAUUGUUUGAACCGCUCCCACGUCUCGAAUAACGCUUCACCGGCUUCUUGUAUGAAAUUUUGCAUUUCUCUCCGGAUUCUUUCAGUUUUUGUUGGGGAGUUAUAUGUGUUCAUGAAGAGUUGUGCUAGCUGGGGCCAAGACGAGAUGGAGUGCGGUGCACGAGUUUGAACAGGCGGAGUUGCAGUGCUUCAGGAGAUACUCCGUUCAUCUUAUGCGAAUCACACGUUUCGAGAAAGUUCACCAACUGGAGAUGCGGAUCUUCAUGAGCUAAUCCGCUGAAAAACCCAUUGUUUUGGAGCAUAGUAAGGAGUCCCGCUCUAAUUUCGAAAUUAUUGGCUUCAAUGGGGGGCUGCUAGAUGCUUGAUUGAAACCAAUUGAGUAUCGGAACGGUAUACUCAUGCAAUGCUCGUUGACGAGGUGUGGAUUAAUGAGCUGCUGUUGCUCUUGCUCGUUGACGAUAUUUCCUGCCGCAUUUAGUAAGCGUCCUUGGUCAUCUCCCCUACGAUUAUUUUCUUCUUCCAUUGUUGCGGGAACGUUUUGAGCUAACCGUUUAUUUCUCCUGGCGUGCCAAAACGUUCGCUCAAUUUCGGGAUCAAAAGGUAGCAAGUUCGUGUCGUGUCCUCUCGCAUAAAAAGUACCUAAAACAAAAAUAAUAAAAAUAAAAUAAGCAAAUAGAAUAAUUAAAUAAAAUAAAUAAAAAACGGCUGAAGUAAGAAAAAUUGCUCAAAUUUAAUAUUAGGAUAAAUAGAUAAUUUAGCUGUAUUCCCCAGCAACGGCGCCAAAAACUUGUUGGGCUAAAUACCUAACACGCAAGUGCACGUAUCACAAACAAGUAGUACAAGUGGACCCGUGAGAGUCGGAUGUCGAUCCCACAGGGAAUACUCAAAUUAUCUAAUCCUAAGUACCAAAUUCUAACAAUUAUGAUUUUUAUCCAGCCUACGCAAGGUUGUGAAAUUUAAUCAACUAAAUAAUUAAACUAAUUAUGAAAGCAAAUAAACACGAGAAAAUAUCAAGUAAAAACGGACCUAGGAUUUCAUCUUCCGCCUAUGCAAGAAUUGCUCACCCAAAACCCCUCAAUUAUGAAAUAUAUGAUUCCUGAUUAUUAACCCGAGACACUAAUUUACUCAUAACCCGCUGUCGUGUGUAUUAUGAGUCUAUUAUUCAUAAACGGUUCACUAUAUGUCUAUGCAAACCAAUUAUGAAUAAAGCAUUAACUAACAAGUCUCGUAAAUGGCUACCUAAGGUGAUAUCUGUAUGUCUACGACACCACAUGCAAUUGACACACUCAUCCGGUGAAAACUACUCGAAGGUUCUUUUACUUACCGUCUAGUUAUCAAAAUAGCUCUGUCGAGUCAAUCCCAAUAAUCACAUAUAAAGCACAUAAAUUGAUUAGGUUCAUGCACUGACAAUCAUAACAAGUAGAAGAAAUAAUCAUAAAAUCAUAAUUGCAUAAUCUCAAGAAAACGGGUUCACCAUCCCCGCAUAGGGUUCCAACAAAAUCCUAGAUUAAAAACUUAGCUACGCAUGUUCGCUACGAAAAACAGCAUAAAAAUAUUAAAAAUAAAUAGAUUAAGAAAAGAUAGAUGAAAGAAGAAUUGUGAUGAAGAUUUGUCAAUUCUCCGUCUUCGAUUCUCCGUUCUCUUGCUCGUCUUUCUCCAAGAUUGUGUUCCAAAGUCCUUUAAUUCGUGCUCGGUUUGCCUUUAAAUAGAUGUCCCAACUUGGUAGAAGAUUUUAGGUUUCCUUGUGUGAUUAAAACUCCAAAAUUGUCUCCAGCGUGUUUUCACACGGCCGCGCGAGAAUCAGUGCAAUUCUCACACGGCCGUGCGAGAAUCGCCGAAACCUUCUGCCCUCAUUUUGCAGUUGGCGCGGCCGCGCCAAAAAUAGGCUAAAUUUGGCAUGGCCGCGCCGGCCAAUUUUGACCUUUUUGGUUCGUUUCGUCCUUCGAACUCCCAAAUCGUCAAGUUGUACCUAAAAUACAAUAAACCACUCAUUAAGCAUCAUUAAAUCAAUAAAAGUAUACAAAAAUCCUCGUAAGAAAGUAUACAUUGAGUGUAAAAUAUAUACACUCAACACUAUACCUCACCAGUCACCACCAUCGCCGAUAAACAUUUAAACGACAUUUCAAUAAUUCAUUAAAAUUCAAUUUUUAAUUGAAAAAAUAAUAAAAAAAUAUUUAUUCCACUAAAAAUGAUCUUUUCAACUCUCAGUUAUAUAUUCCCAAAAUUAAUAAUUUAUGUAGAUUAAUUUUAAUAAAAGGCUAAUUUGUUAGACCCGUAAACUCAAAUUGUCUUUAAGUUAGGAUAUACCAACUUUUGCAAUUUGUUAAAAAAAUGUGUUCUUCAGACUCCCCACACUCCGUCAGAUUCCAACCCCUUUCAAUUUCGUCAAAUCAAUCCCAUCCCUACUCCCCGCCGAUGUCAUCGUUGAAAAGUUCUGUCACACAACCACACACACAUAAUCACACACCUACAUAUGCACAUACACAAUCACACAUACGCACACACAUACGACUUUGGUUACACUCAUUCAUCUCCGUUGUAACCUAAUCAUCGUAGAAAUCAAACCGAAAAAAUAUUAAGAGUUGUUUGGUGAUGAUGAUAGUAAUGUUGGUGGGAUGUACGGACCCGAAAUUUAAUUUUUUUCUUCAGCUUAUUUAAGUAAGCUGUGUGACUAUACUACGCAAAUAAGGUAUGUGAGUUGUGUAUAUGCUGUGGAAAACAUCGUAUUCUUAUUUUAGUUUUUUCGUCACUGUAUUUUGACUCAAUUGUUGGAAUAAAAUAUAGUAAAAAAUAAUAUGGUUGGGUAAAAGUUUACGGGGGUUCAGGGGCAGCGCCCCCGAAUUUUUUUAAUACUAUACACAUUAAAUAAUAAAAAUAUGUAAUAUUUUCAAAUUUAAAGGGAUUAUUUUAUAAAUUUUGGGCUAAUUUUUGAAAUAUUUAGACAUAAAUUAAAAUUGGUGAAAACAUUAAAGGAGUGGUAAAAAUAUUAAAGUUGCAAGUGACAAAAUGUGUAUUUCAUUAACAUAUUUUGAAUAUUCAAUAUAUAUAUAAAAAAAAACUCACAGACCUAAAUUUAGAAAACAAUUGAAAUAAUACAUAUAUAAAACAUUAAAAAAAUUGGAAUAAUUUAGAUAAUAUAAAAUAUUAAAGGAAUGAUAAAUAAAUUAAAGUUUCAAAUAGUAAAAUAUAUGUUUUAUUAGGAGAUUUUGAUUUUUUGCGUGCUAAAUCCUACACUAAAAAUUACUAAAUCACGCACAUAAAUAAAAAUACCAAUUGUCUCUAUACGCUCUAUUUUCUCUAACAUCUUUCUAUGAUUUCAAAUUAACAAAUUAAAAAAUAAUUGAGAUGAAUAUAUAUAUAUAUAUAUAUAUAUAUAUAUAUAUAUAUAUAUAUAUAUAUAUAUAUAUAUAUAUAUAUAUUUUCUUACCACAACCUACGGCCCCACCCAGCCCCAGCCCCAACCCCAAUACACCACUCACACCCCGUGUCUGCCCAUGGCAGGAGCACCUUCUUCCCUCACCGACCACAACGACCCAAUCUCACCGACGAUCACUCCAGACGGCGACCCAAUCCACCGGCUCCACACAACUUCUUCAUUAAAAUUUAUUUUCCCGAAAAAAUCACCGUAACAUAAAAAUUGAUGUUAAUUCGAACAUAAAAUAAAAUUAAUAGGUAAAGAUAAAAUGAUUACUUUGAUUGUAGAGUAAAUUUGUGAAGAUUUUCUUCAAGUCCAAAUUAUGAUGUUUUUAUGCAAAUAUCAACGAAAAAGAAAAAUUGUGUUGGAGUGGUUUUGAGAAACGUUUUUGGGCUACUUUGUUCUUAGAGAGAUAAAAUAAUUUAAUUAUGUGUAUGAUCUAGUAAUUUUCAUGUGGGAUUUAGCAUUUCAGUAUGAAAAAAUACCCUCAUGCAUAUUCAAAAAAAUUGAAAACAAUUCAAAUAUUGUAUGUAAUGGAUAUUAAAUCUUGUACGGGUAAAAACUUUCAACCAAUUAAGUACAAGCCAAUUUUGAAAGUUAAGUAAUAUACAGAAAAAAUAGAAUUUAAAAAGGAAUAUAUACAGAAAAAUUAGAAAAAAAAAAAAAAAAAACCCAACAAAAUAGAGGGGUCUUGUCUCUACAGGGUUGAGAACGCUGGACCUCUUUGGAAUUAAAGAGAGAACUCUACCAGUUCAGCUAAAACAUUACACGUCAAAAUUACACAUUUAAACUUAUAUAUUAGGUAAAUACAUAGGGAAUAAUUUUUUUUAAAAAUCAAGGGCGUGCAGUUGCACGCCCUUGGACCACACUAGAUACGCCAAUGUGCCCGGGUGACCAUGUAUUCUACGAUGCCUCAGUUAUAUGGGGUUUGAUCGGGCCCGAAAGAAUAUUCGGAGACCUCGGUUACUACUCCGCCAUAAAUUGGUC
Molecule: long non-coding RNA, 19366 nt
Filed under: Erythranthe guttata (spotted monkey flower)
Lineage: Eukaryota; Viridiplantae; Streptophyta; Magnoliopsida; Lamiales; Phrymaceae
Description: long non-coding RNA (EGUT_LNC003635)
Source: RNAcentral